GGCAGCUGCUUAACCAACUGAGCCAUGGAGUCCCUCCCGAAGCUGUGCGCUCAGUCGAAGAGGACGACCUUCCCCGAUAGAGGAGAGGACCGUUCUUCGGUCAAGGGUAUACGAGUAGCUGCGCUCCCCUGCUAGAACCUCCAAACAAGCUCUCAAGGUCCUCGUGAGCUGGUUUGAAUGAGACAGUGAGGGGGCGCUGGGAAGCUUUCUUCUGUGGGCCCCUCAC
Non-coding RNA from Mustela putorius furo (domestic ferret), 226 nucleotides. The record is from Rfam. Lineage: Eukaryota; Metazoa; Chordata; Mammalia; Carnivora; Mustelidae.